UUUCCGUAGGUGAACCUGCGGAAGGAUCAUUAAUGAGUGAGGGUCCUCGGUGGCCCGACCUCCCAACCCUGUGUUUACUGAACUUUCGUUGCUUCGGCGGGCCCGCCACACGGCCGCCGGGGGACCGCCGCGAGGCGUCCUCUGGCCCGCGCCCGUCGAUAGCCCCCGUUUCAAACUCUUGAAUAAAUCGUGUCGCGUACCUAAGUCACAAGAAAAACAAAAAAAAGCAAAAACUUUCAACAACGGAUCUCUUGGUUCUG
RNAcentral lists this unclassified non-coding RNA (260 nucleotides) under soil metagenome. RNAcentral's name for it is "partial contains small subunit ribosomal RNA, internal transcribed spacer 1, and 5.8S ribosomal RNA". The record is from RNAcentral.